CCUACGGGGGGCAGCAGUAAGGAAUAUUGGACAAUGGCCGCAAGGCUGAUCCAGCCAUGCCGCGUGAAGGAUGAAGGUGCUAUGCAUUGUAAACUUCUUUUGUCCCGGAAUAAACCCCUGAUUUCUAUCGGGGCUGAAUGUACGGGAAGAAUAAGGGACGGCUAACUUCGUGCCAGCAGCCGCGGUAAUACGAAGGUCCCAAGCGUUAUCCGGAUUUAUUGGGUUUAAAGGGUGCGUAGGCGGGUUGUUAAGUCAGUGGUGAAAGCCUACAGCUCAACUGUAGAAUUGCCAUUGAUACUGACGAUCUUGAGUAUGGUUGAGGAGGGCGGAAUGUGUCAUGUAGCGGUGAAAUGCUUAGAUAUGACACAGAACACCGAUUGCGAAGGCAGCUCUCUAAGCCAAUACUGACGCUGAUGCACGAAAGCGUGGGGAGCAAACAGGCUUAGAUACCCUAGUAGUC
Molecule: ribosomal RNA, 460 nt
Filed under: uncultured Sphingobacteriales bacterium
Lineage: Bacteria; Pseudomonadati; Bacteroidota; Sphingobacteriia; Sphingobacteriales
Description: bacterial SSU rRNA
Rfam family: Bacterial small subunit ribosomal RNA
Source: RNAcentral